UUAGGAGCGCUGACUGACGGGCUGCACCAGAACUGGGCUCCAGGGUGUGGGUGUAGGGAGUGCCCAGCAGGAACAUUCCAGACCUCUUGUGAGCAAUAUCAAUCAAGUCAGGCUUGUCUGGUUUUAGUGUUUUUCCUAGGCUAGGCUUGGCUUCCCGGUCACUGUGUAGUUGAAGCUGGCUUUUCAACCUCUGAUCCUCCUGCCUCAUCCUUCCGAGUGUCCGGAUGGUAGGCCUGAGCCAUCUUGUUUGACUCUGUGGUGCUAGGGUGUCCUGUCCGAUGGGCAAGAGUGCUGCCCACUAAACCGUACUUCCUGUUUGUUUUUUAUUUCAAGAUAGGGUCUCAGUACCUCAUACUGUCCUGGAAGUUACUGUGUUGUCCGGGCUUCGCUCCCACCCCCACCAAUCCUCUGGCCUCAGCAUCUAGUAUGUUUCCACUGUUGUGCAACCAUCCACGGAGGGAGGAGGAGAGAGGGAGAGUCCGUCGUGUGACAGUGCUCACGUGGAGGGGGAAAAGAGAGAGGAGGCUGGCGGAAGCCCUUUCUGAGGGGACUUUGCUGAUGACUGUCAGGACCCAGCAGAGACCAGAGGAUAGAAUAAUAUUCCAUCGCAGUGGACGUCCUGCUGGGGGCUUGUUCAUUUGUCUCGGGUCAUGCUCUGGUGUUUGGGAGUGAAGAAAUGCCUCAUUGAGCCCCUGCUUUUGCCUCUUCUGAGCAGCCACAUGGAAAUCAGGGUUGCAGGGAGCAAACUCGGGUCCUCUACCUGCUGAGCCCUCCUGCUGACCCGCAGGCUCAUCUCCAGCUGCCUCCUCUCUGGUAGCCGAACACAGGUGCACUUCCAGGCUGGGAUCGCAGGCUGCGCGACAGGAAUGCAACGCAGUGUCUUCCUGCAGCUCCAGCUGAACUUCAGCUCCAUGGACUCUGUUAUUGACUGUGAUGGACUGUAAUAAAUGCAGCCUCUGGAAGGUGUAAUUUCAAGAACUUUUACGGCAGCGCACACCCAUGGAGCCAUUCUGCCCCAAGCUGGAUGUGUCUUGUCUCUUGGGCUGUUCCUCUUCUGCCCAUGGUGGGCGUCAGGGAUUAUCACUGCACUUGCACUAAGGAAGGACCCUGAAGGGCAGAAGCAGGAACUUAACAAGUUCAAAGGCCUCUAGGUUACAAAGAGCAUAUAAAGACAGACACUGUCACUCACAGCAAAGAGCGGUCAGGUGUGGUGGCCCAUGCCUUAAGUCCCAGCACUUAGGAGGUAGGGGCUGACAGAGCUCCAAGAAUCCAAGGCCAGCCUGCUCUACCGUAGUCAGUUGAAGACCAGCUGGGGCUACUUUGUGCCCUAUGCCAAAACAACAAAAGUAUACCUGGCGGCCGGGGCGUGGUCAGGGAAGUCCCACCUAGAAUCCCCAGUGAGGGGCUAGGGGCGUGGUCAGUGUGGAGUCCCGCCCAGAAUCCGCCCAGAGAGGGGGCUGAGGGCAUGGUCAGGAUGGAGCCCCACCUAGAUCCCCCCAGUGAGGGGCUGGGGCUUGGUCAGGGUGGAAACCCUCCCACCCCGCUUAGAAUCCCCUUUGGGGGCUGGGGGCGUGCUCAGGGUGGAGCUCUAGAAAACCCUGGGCUUAAUGCCUGGUACUAAAUAAUAAUAACAAAAACUGAACUGCUGUUAUGCCUUUGAAGAUCACUAGUCCUUGCUGUGGACCUCUGGCCAGGCUCCUGUUACCUUGUUUUGUGGCUCUGACUAGUCUAAGGGAGAACGGUAUGUCAGAGGUGUGUCUGCCUCUAUCCAGCUCAGUGGACACGGUGGAUGUGGGAAUGGUGUAUGCACUGGGCACUCCUGUCUCCGGUGGCUGUGUGCUGACCCUCCCCCGUUUUCUAGCCCUUCAGCCCUUCGCAGGUUUAUGACUGAGGGCACAGGGCAUCUCACACCUCGCUGUUGCCUGCCUUACCUCUGAUCUUUCCCAGCCCGUAUCUGACUUAUCACCAGCCCCAAUAACAUCCUCCGGGCACCUUGUUACACUCCGAGGAAUAACUGUGUAAUGGCUUUCCUGAUAGUGCUAACUCAAGGUGACCCUUGUCUUGCUGAGCCGAAGUGGAACGACUCACCUGUGUGGUGGCUGAGGUUGCUGGAAAACCGUCUUCUCCCGUCUGGACACUCAAGGACCCUGCUGGGCAGUGAUUAAUGCCCCAGCUAAAUCCAUUCCUGCACAUAAAUAGAAGAUACAAGGUUUCACGGUUUGCUUGUGUUGUUUUACUUUGAGGCAGGAUGUCUCUGU
Molecule: long non-coding RNA, 2258 nt
Organism: Microtus ochrogaster (prairie vole)
Lineage: Eukaryota; Metazoa; Chordata; Mammalia; Rodentia; Cricetidae
Exons: 3
Source: RefSeq, a predicted model, not a curated record